CCCUUAGAUGUUCUGGGCCGCACGCGUGCUACACUGAGUAAUUCAAUGGGUAAGGGAACGCUAGAGCAUUACCUAAUCUUGAAAUUUGCUCGUGAUGGGAUCGACGGUUGCAAUUUUCCGUCGUGAACGAGGAAUACCUUGUAGGCGCAUGUCAUCAUCAUGCGCCGAAUACGUCCCUGCCCUUUGUACACACCGCCCGUCGCUCCUACCGAUUGAGUGAUCCGGUGAGGCUCUGGGACCUGGACGGAAAGAGCGUUUCGCUUGUUCUGUUUGGGAAACUUGGUCGAACCUUAUCAUUUAGAGGAAGGAGAAGUCGUAACA
Molecule: ribosomal RNA, 321 nt
Filed under: uncultured eukaryote
Lineage: Eukaryota
Description: partial 18S ribosomal RNA
Rfam family: Eukaryotic small subunit ribosomal RNA
Source: RNAcentral